GCUCCUGGUACAUCAGCCCAUUUCAUGGUACGUUGAAGCAUGCCUCCCUGUGGGAUUGCUGGAUUCCCAGCCCAGUGAGGUAAUGACCAAGCAGCGUCUUCAGAGGAAGGAUAGCUGUACAGCGUGGUGAAGGACUCAAUGAGAAGGUGCAUUGCCCAUCCUUCAGAGAGCUCUGUGUGAAUCCAUAAAAGGUGCUUAAAGCUUUUCACUCCAUGAAGCCUCAUCUGUCUCAUGAAAGCAAUAAAUAAGCUUCUCCAGCACCAGCCUUCCCCCAAACCAGAACAAGAGCAUUGAUCUACACCCAAGAGGAGCAGGAAUCAGCAGAAACACAAUGGAACAAACUGAUAUGCCAUCUAGUGGAAACACAGAAAGCCUCAAAUGAAAAUCUCAGCCAAAAUGAGGCCACUCAACCAGUGUCCAGUGAAUCAAGUUUCUGACAAAAGUCAGCUAAAUCAAACACCUCUGUGUUUCACCCUUUUUGAUGGCAACGCCUUAAAUGUGACUGCUGCUCAGAAAGCCAAGUAAAGAAAAUAUAAUGGGGCUGCUAUUGGCUCAUUCCGAAUCAGGCAUUUUCUCUCAGGUCAGCAUUUGGGAUCAGAAUUUUGAUUACAUAAUAUUGUCGAAGGCAACAGAAAAGGACCAUUGACUCACAGGGUGUUACAGCUGAUAAAGGACUUCAGAAUUAAUCAACAAACAUUGAGGCAACAUUAACUAAAGGUCAAGAACUAUUCUAACCACCUUAUAAAUAUUUAUUCACUUAAUUCUCACAGCAGCCCUAUAUAUAAGCACUAGCAUUAUCUCCACUUGACAGAUAAGGAAACUGAGGCAUGAAAAAGUUAAGAAAGGUGCUCAGGGACACACAGCUGAUAAGGCUUCGCACCCGUUUGGUUAGGCUCGGAAGCCACUGCACCAUGCCCAAGGUCACAGAGCAAGGAGUCCAAGCAGUAUUUCCCUUACUCAGAGAUAUGAAUAGCCAGAAACACUUAGGAUGUUUGGUUUUACAACCCACAACCUCCUCCCCCACCUUCGCCAAAAGAUAAACUAUUUUCUUUUUUUCUGGAACUUACCUAACAUAACAUAAUCUACAUAAAUCUACAAAAUAAUGUUGUUCAUGAGAAAGGCAUAUUCGAUUCAAGCUUAUCCACCUUA
Molecule: long non-coding RNA, 1149 nt
Organism: Homo sapiens (human)
Lineage: Eukaryota; Metazoa; Chordata; Mammalia; Primates; Hominidae
Exons: 3
Source: RefSeq, a predicted model, not a curated record